This 116-nucleotide small nuclear RNA is filed under the name Echinops telfairi (small Madagascar hedgehog). RNAcentral's name for it is "U11 spliceosomal RNA (ENSETEG00000025854.1)". It matches the Rfam family "U11 spliceosomal RNA". Lineage: Eukaryota; Metazoa; Chordata; Mammalia; Afrosoricida; Tenrecidae. The record is from RNAcentral.
AGAAACGUGGCCCAUUAAGUGGCACAUGUGGGACUUCCCUCUUGCUCUGCGUGCAGAAUCGACAUCAAGAGAUUUUGUUACCUGGGCUGCUAGUGAUCGUUCGUCCUGGCGCCCUA